This 514-nucleotide long non-coding RNA is filed under the name Phasianus colchicus (ring-necked pheasant). RNAcentral's name for it is "lncRNA (ENSPCLG00000022059.1)". Lineage: Eukaryota; Metazoa; Chordata; Aves; Galliformes; Phasianidae. The record is from RNAcentral.
UGGAGUCACAAUAGAAUACUUUUAUCUUUUGUCUCUAAAUGUGCAAGGACCUUUUUCUCAGGUUCCACGUGCCUUGUUCUUAAGGAGUGACUCACUAUGGCCUAAAAAGCAAUGGAAAUCUUCCCAACUGGGGAAAAGUGUGUGGAAGUGGAUCAAAGGCCCAGGUGAGCCUCUGUGACUGAAAUCUUCUGCAAUGAGGGACUGGAGGAGACCUCCGUUCAAGGCACACAGCAAGUGAUUCUCAGGGAGUUUCCCCUUAUCCCGGCUCCAUUGGGACCAGCCACAACUUCCUUGGAGUAUGGUUCAUGGCACAGGUGGUACUAACACCUCUGGAAGUCACAAUACAUCUGUCCAAACUGAUGAGUGGAUGUAUCUAUGGACUCGGAGCUCUGAAGCACUACAGGAGAAGUGGAAAGGACUGUAUCAAAUACUACUGACAACAGAAGCUGCUACCAAGGUGUUAGGAGUAGACUCUUGAAUUCAUUACACAAGAAUAAAAAGCACCUAGCCCACA